RNAcentral lists this ribosomal RNA (324 nucleotides) under uncultured eukaryote. RNAcentral's name for it is "partial 18S ribosomal RNA". It matches the Rfam family "Eukaryotic small subunit ribosomal RNA", at positions 1470 to 1796 of the family's 1831-position model. The record is from RNAcentral.
CCCUUAGAUGUCCUGGGCUGCACGCGCGCUACACUGAUGUGUCCAGUAAGCACCUAACCUCUUCCGAAAGGAACGGGUAACCUUUGCAAAGCACAUCGUGAUGGGGAUAGAUUAUUGCAAUUAUUAGUCUUGAACGAGGAAUUCCUAGUAAGCACAAGUCAUCAGCUUGUGUUGAUUACGUCCCUGCCCUUUGUACACACCGUCCGUCGCUCCUACCGAUUGAAUGUUCCGGUGAGCUCUUCGGACUGCGCGGUCUGCAGUUUCUGCGUUCCGUGCGGAAAGUUGCGCAAACCUUAACAUUUAGAGGAAGGAGAAGUCGUAACA